CCAGACUCCUACGGGAGGCAGCAGUGAGGAAUAUUGGUCAAUGGGCGAGAGCCUGAACCAGCCAAGUCGCGUGAGGGAAGACGGUCCUAUGGAUUGUAAACCUCCUUUGUCGGGGAGCAAAAAGGCCUCGUGAGGCCACAAGUGAGAGUACCCGAAGAAAAAGCAUCGGCUAACUCCGUGCCAGCAGCCGCGGUAAUACGGAGGAUGCGAGCGUUAUCCGGAUUUAUUGGGUUUAAAGGGAGCGUAGAUGGGUUGUUAAGUCAGUUGUGAAAGUUUGCGGCUCAACCGUAAAAUUGCAAUUGAUACUGGCAGCCUUGAGUACAGUUGAGGUAGGCGGAAUUCGUGGUGUAGCGGUGAAAUGCUUAGAUAUCACGAAGAACUCCGAUUGCGAAGGCAGCUUACUAAACUAUAACUGACACUGGAGCACGAAAGCGUGGGGAUCAAACAGGAUUAGAUACCCCUGUA
RNAcentral lists this ribosomal RNA (465 nucleotides) under uncultured bacterium. RNAcentral describes it as "bacterial SSU rRNA". It matches the Rfam family "Bacterial small subunit ribosomal RNA", at positions 331 to 792 of the family's 1533-position model. The record is from RNAcentral.